AGGGUUUGAUCAUGGCUCAGAACGUACGCUGGCGGCACGCCUAACACAUGCAAGUCGAACGAAGUAGCAAUACUUAGUGGCAGACGGGUGAGUAACAUGUGGGUAUCUGCCCUUUGGCCUGGAAUAACACGAGGAAACUUGUGCUAAUACCGGAUAAGUCUUUACGGAGAAAGCUUUAUGCACCAUUGGAUGAGCCCGCACUUGAUUAGUUUGUUGGUAGGGUAAUGGCCUACCAAGACUGUGAUCAAUAGCUGAUUUGAGAGGAUGAUCAGCCACAUUGGGACUGAGACACGGCCCAAACUCCUACGGGAGGCAGCAGUGGGGAAUCUUGCACAAUGGAGGAAACUCUGAUGCAGCGAUGCCGCGUGAGUGAAGAAGGCCUUUGGGUUGUAAAGCUCUUUCGUCGGGGAAGAAAAUGACUGUACCCGAAUAAGAAGGUCCGGCUAACUUCGUGCCAGCAGCCGCGGUAAUACGAAGGGACCUAGCGUAGUUCGGAAUUACUGGGCUUAAAGAGUUCGUAGGUGGUUGAAAAAGUUGGUGGUGAAAUCCCAGAGCUUAACUCUGGAACUGCCAUCAAAACUUUUCAGCUAGAGUUUGAUAGAGGAAAGCAGAAUUUCUAGUGUAGAGGUGAAAUUCGUAGAUAUUAGAAAGAAUACCAAUUGCGAAGGCAGCUUUCUGGAUCAUUACUGACACUGAGGAACGAAAGCAUGGGUAGCGAAGAGGAUUAGAUACCCUCGUAGUCCAUGCCGUAAACGAUGUGUGUUAGACGUUGGAAAUUUAUUUUCAGUGUCGCAGCGAAAGCGAUAAACACACCGCCUGGGGAGUACGACCGCAAGGUUAAAACUCAAAUGAAUUGACGGGGACCCGCACAAGUAGUGGAGCAUGUGGUUUAAUUCGAAGAUACGCGCAGAACCUUACCAACACUUGACAUGUUCGUCGCGACUUUAAGAGAUUAAAGUUUUCGGUUCGGCCGGACGAAACACAGGUGCUGCAUGGCUGUCGUCAGCUCGUGUCGUGAGAUGUUGGGUUAAGUCCCGCAACGAGCGCAACCCUCACUUUUAGUUGCCAUCAUUGAGUUGGGCACUCUGAAAGAACUGCCAGUGAUAAGCUGGAGGAAGGUGGGGAUGACGUCAAGUCCUCAUGGCCCUUACGUGUUGGGCUACACACGUGCUACAAUGGUAUCUACAACAGGAAGCGAAACAGCGAUGUUAAGCAAAUCCUUAAAAGAUACCUCAGUUCGGAUUGCACUCUGCAACUCGAGUGCAUGAAGCUGGAAUUACUAGUAAUCGUGGAUCAGCGUGCCACGGUGAAUGCGUUCCCGGGUCUUGUACACACCGCCCGUCACACCAUGGGAGUUGGUUCUACCUUAAGGCAAGGUUUAAUACCCUUGACCACGGUAUAGUCAGCGACUGGGGUGAAGUCAUAACAAGGUAGCCGUA
This 1439-nucleotide ribosomal RNA is filed under the name uncultured bacterium. RNAcentral describes it as "bacterial SSU rRNA". It matches the Rfam family "Bacterial small subunit ribosomal RNA". The record is from RNAcentral.